Ailuropoda melanoleuca (giant panda) is the source of this 2086-nucleotide long non-coding RNA. RefSeq lists it as uncharacterized. Lineage: Eukaryota; Metazoa; Chordata; Mammalia; Carnivora; Ursidae. The transcript is spliced from 3 exons. The record is from RefSeq and is a predicted model, not a curated record.
UUAAAGGAUUUAUACCAGGAUGCUUUUCUGAUUCAGGAUUCACUCCCUUUGGCAGAUCCCUAUGUUCCUGUUUAGGGAAUAUAAAUAUAAAUAUAAAUAUAUAAAUGAGGCUAUGAUCAAGAACUGCUCCUUAAUUCUUAAAUUAUUGCAAAAUCUUCUGCUAAAAAAAUAGCAGCCCAACAAUGAUCCUUAGAUUCUGUAGACAAAGUUGUCCUUGAUAAUAGAAUAGCUCUUGAUUAUUUUUUAGCUGAGCAAAGUGGUGUCUAUGCUCUGGUGACUACCUGCUGUGCCCAGAGCAACACUUCUGGGGAAGCUGAAACUCAGUUACCAAAGAUCAAAAACCAGGUUUGCUUGGCUUAAACAGAUGAUUCCUUCCAGAGUCUCUGACUUGUUUGAUUUUGACUGGUGCUAAUGGAUUUUCCUCCCCUCUCUAUCCCCAGGAUCGAUAACCCUUCUCCUUAGCUCAGGAUGUCAUGUAAGCCUCAUGUUGCCUGUCUUUGGGAUUUCAUAUCUGUGGAUUCCCCAUCUUUAUAUGAAACCAAAUUUGAUUUUCUCCUGUUAAUGUUUCAUGUCAAUUUGAUUCUUGGUCCAGCUAGGAGAACCUUGAAGGGCAGAGGACAGUCUUUCUUCCUGACAGUUGGCAUAACCGGCAGGAUACUUUAAACUCACUGGAUACCAUUCUCCUCUGGCACUGCUCCAGCAGAGAGAUACUUGGGAAACCUGACAUACAGCAGAAGGCUUACAGAUCCAGAAAUGACCAGACAGCUUUAAGAACUUUAUGGAGCCUAUAAUAAGCCCCCUUGGAAAUAUCAGCCUGAUAACUCUUGCUUACAGAGUUCCCAGCAGCUUUACCAGCUGAAGAUGCGUCCAGCCUGACAUCUAGAAGUCGUGACUGGCUACCCUCAGAACUCAGAAAAUUUGAUCCAAACAUCGACCAUUGUUUUCUUUUGUUCUGAGAGAAACAGAACACUUGAUUAGUUAUUUAAUUAAGUCACAGGUGUAACUUCGAGAAUAUACGUGCAUCAUGGCCUCCUGAAGUGAGAUUGUAACGGAGCUGAUCUAUUGCCAGCACUGACUGGUUCAACAAGAUGGAACAGUCUACCAGGGCUCAACUUUAAAGGUUGAAAACUUCCCUGAAGUUUCAGAGGGAACUUCAGGUGCCAAGGGCAGGCUGCCCUAGAUGGGCCACUUCGUCCAUCAACAUUACUUUGAGUUAAAAGCAAUCACAGGAAAACCUCCCCAUCAACUGCCUAAGUUUACAUUUAUAGAAAGGACAGCCUGUACCAGGACAGAGCUACUGAGAUUCCUCUUUACCUAAGAUGCUUAAUUGUGUAAUAGCAACCUUUAUUUUCCAAACAUCUCCUCUCACCUUCUGGUCAAUGGCUGUCCUUCCCUUUAUAUCCCCAGACCCCCUACCCCAAUCCUUAGCUCAGGACGUCAUUCAUAUAAACCUCACUGCCUGAAUGUCCUUGGAAUUUCAUGUCUGUUUUCUCCUGUUAAUCUAUCUCAUGUCAAUUUCUUAGCCAGCUAGAAGAGCAAAGGACAUUCUUCCUUCCUGAUAAUACCAGAGAAAAGAACAACAAAAUAGUGGUAACUGAGAGCAGCACUAAUGCCAUAAAUUUUGAUCACAUUUUUCAGUUAAGCUGAGAUUGAUCAAAUGGGGGUACUGUUGAACCAAAGGCCCCAAAUGGCGUCAUUCAGGCUUAGUCUGCAAACCAGGGCUUAAUACCACCAUUAUCUGCAGUUUCAAACUUUCCCAGAAAUGUAGUCUUAACUGAUCAGUUGGGAAUCUUCCGAUUAGUGAUAAUGGGUCUGCCACAUAGGCCCUCUCCCUUCUCCCAGAGGGUAAUCUGUGUAAGACCCCUUGUUUUUCAUCCUCAUGGGAAAGUGACCUUGCCUGGAACAAUCCUUUUCUUUGGCCACUAACUUUCUUGCCCCACUUUCCUUCCUAUAAAAACCUUCCAUUUUGUACAAUGCACUGAGCCUCCAUUCCCUCUACUUGCUAGGUAAGAGGCUGCCUAAAUCAUUUUUAAAAAACCAAUUAGAGGGGCGCCUGGGUGGCACAGCGGUUAAGCGUCUGCCUUCG